This 1306-nucleotide ribosomal RNA is filed under the name uncultured bacterium. RNAcentral's name for it is "bacterial SSU rRNA". It matches the Rfam family "Bacterial small subunit ribosomal RNA", at positions 28 to 1381 of the family's 1533-position model. The record is from RNAcentral.
AACGUACGCUGGCGGCACGCCUAACACAUGCAAGUCGAACGAAGUAGUAAUACUUAGUGGCAGACGGGUGAGUAACAUGUGGGUAUCUGCCCUUUGGCCUGGAAUAACACGAGGAAACUUGUGCUAAUACCGGAUAAGUCUUUACGGAGAAAGCUUUAUGCACCAUUGGAUGAGCCCGCACUUGAUUAGUUUGUUGGUGGGGUAAUGGCCUACCAAGACUGUGAUCAAUAGCUGAUUUGAGAGGAUGAUCAGCCACAUUGGGACUGAGACACGGCCCAAACUCCUACGGGAGGCAGCAGUGGGGAAUCUUGCACAAUGGAGGAAACUCUGAUGCAGCGAUGCCGCGUGAGUGAAGAAGGCCCUUGGGUUGUAAAGCUCUUUCGUCGGGGAAGAAAAUGACUGUACCCGAAUAAGAAGGUCCGGCUAACUUCGUGCCAGCAGCCGCGGUAAUACGAAGGGACCUAGCGUAGUUCGGAAUUACUGGGCUUAAAGAGUUCGUAGGUGGUUGAAAAAGUUAGUGGUGAAAUCCCAGAGCUUAACUCUGGAACUGCCAUUAAAACUUUUCAGCUAGAGUAUGAUAGAGGAAAGCAGAAUUUCUAGUGUAGAGGUGAAAUUCGUAGAUAUUAGAAAGAAUACCAAUUGCGAAGGCAGCUUUCUGGAUCAUUACUGACACUGAGGAACGAAAGCAUGGGUAGCGAAGAGGAUUAGAUACCCUCGUAGUCCAUGCCGUAAACGAUGUGUGUUAGACGUUGGAAAUUUAUUUUCAGUGUCGCAGCGAAAGCGAUAAACACACCGCCUGGGGAGUACGACCGCAAGGUUAAAACUCAAAUGAAUUGACGGGGACCCGCACAAGUAGUGGAGCAUGUGGUUUAAUUCGAAGAUACGCGCAGAACCUUACCAACACUUGACAUGUUCGUCGCGACUCUAAGAGAUUAGAGUUUUCGGUUCGGCCGGACGAAACACAGGUGCUGCAUGGCUGUCGUCAGCUCGUGUCGUGAGAUGUUGGGUUAAGUCCCGCAACGAGCGCAACCCUCACUUUUAGUUGCCAUCAUUAAGUUGGGCACUCUGAAAGAACUGCCAGUGAUAAGCUGGAGGAAGGUGGGGAUGACGUCAAGUCCUCAUGGCCCUUACGUGUUGGGCUACACACGUGCUACAAUGGUAUCUACAACAGGAAGCAAGACUGCGAGGUCAAGCAAAUCCUUAAAAGAUACCUCAGUUCGGAUUGCACUCUGCAACUCGAGUGCAUGAAGCUGGAAUUACUAGUAAUCGUGGAUCAGCGUGCCACGGUGAAUGCGUUCCCGGGUCU